Molecule: long non-coding RNA, 566 nt
Filed under: Salvia miltiorrhiza (redroot sage)
Lineage: Eukaryota; Viridiplantae; Streptophyta; Magnoliopsida; Lamiales; Lamiaceae
Description: long non-coding RNA (SMIL_LNC000241)
Source: RNAcentral
UAGAUUACUACUGAAGAAAAAAUUUCCACAAUAUUUCACGGUUUUCACCCUAUACGCAAAUAUAAUAUCAGGAUUGUGGUCCCCCAAAAAAUAAUAAAUUAGUGAAACCCCUCGUUUGCAAAAUGCAUAUCAAAUUCAAGAACAAACACAUAUGCAUUCCUCUACAUUAAUUUUAUUAAUUUCGACGAUCGACGUGUAACUUACUGCAACAACAAAAAAAAAAAAGAAGUAAAUAUCAGUUUUUGGUCCAUUGUCUCUAAGCAUAUUACAAAACAAUACUCAUCGUUUCGUUUUUUUCUUAUUUAUAUCCCUCAAAAAUAAUCCGACAACCGGUGUAUGACGUGUUCCAGUCAAGUGCCACGAAGGUAAUACACGUGGAAUUAAAAAAGAAAAAAAAAUCACGAAAUCCAUUCCCCCCUAAUUCUACCCUAACUCCUUCAAUCCACCGGUGAUUCCUCCUCCGCCGAUUUCUCCUUCCUCCGCCAUCUCCUCCGCCGAUUAUUUCCUCCCACGCCAUCUCAUCCGCUGUUGUAUUGCUUAGAUUAUAAGGAAAGGCGAAAAAUAAG